This 353-nucleotide long non-coding RNA is filed under the name Struthio camelus australis. RNAcentral describes it as "lncRNA (ENSSCUG00000002579.1)". Lineage: Eukaryota; Metazoa; Chordata; Aves; Struthioniformes; Struthionidae. The record is from RNAcentral.
GCGAUGUUUCUUAAAACGCUUCUGAUAAAUUAUUUUAAUUGGAAUCUUUUGAAUGGACAGUAGGGAGAAAUUGGACUCCUUUGUGUGCCUUUUUCUUGCAUGGCUACAAAAGUUUGCAUACAGAAGCACUUCGUUCUCCCCUCUUUAGGCCUAGUAUGAACAGUGAUGAACCUGAUCUUUCGUGUGCUGACAACCUGCCCUCUGAUGGGGCUGUCGUACCCCAGCAGCAGAAUGGACAAACAGCAAUUUUGCACCCCGUUCCGUAUGACGGGCAGUCAUUUCCACUGAAGAGCAGGCCUGGUGUAUUUCUCUCAGGCUUCUCCUUCUACAACAAAUCCCUUUCAUUUGGAUGA